AUGAAUGACAAUAUUGUACAAUGGCGUUUUACCGGUUUUUAUGGUCAUCCGAAUUGGUGUGAACCUAACUUGUCUUUGGAUGAUAUCCGUAAUUUGCACAAUAAAGGUGACCACCCUUGGGUGAUUUUGGGAGACUUCAAUGAAAUUCUACUUUCUUCGGAAAAAGAGGGAGGCAAUGCGAGACCUAAUGCAGUGAUGGAAUUUCGUAAUUGUUUGGGAGAGUGCGGUUUGGAAGACAUGGGAUGUAUUGGAGACCUUUUCACUUGGAGGAGGGGCGAUAUUAGGGAGAGGCUUGACCGUGCGGUUUGUAAUGUGGAAUGGGCGAACAAAUUUCCUCGGCCCGUAGUUAUAAAUGAAGAACAUGUACAUUCUGAUCAUCGUCCUCUAAUCCUGGAUACGGAAUAUUUUGAUGGUAGUAUGUUUAAUCAACCAAGGAGCCGACUGAAACAGUUUGAAGCUCGAUGGCUCAAAGAAGAGACAGUUGAAGAAAUUGUACGUACAGCAUGGGAAAAAGCAAAGAUGCGAGGUAUUGGGCCUUCUCUUGCCGAGCGUACACGGGCGGUGAAUGCGGAUUUGCACACUUGGGACCGUGAUAUUCUUAGAGGACCGAAAAAAAGAAUUAAUAAACUAAAAAAAGAAUUAGAAAAACAACGAAGAGGUCCCAUGAAUGCGGAGUCACAAGCGAGACAAAAAGAGAUUCUUGUCCUUAUUGAAAAUCUCUUAGAGCAAGAAUCUACUGGUUACAAAGGGGCCGCGCAAACUGGUUGUUAUAUGGUGAUCGCAACACUUCCUUUUUCCAUAAUGCAGCAAUGA
RNAcentral lists this ribosomal RNA (813 nucleotides) under Triticum aestivum (bread wheat). RNAcentral's name for it is "partial small subunit ribosomal RNA". Lineage: Eukaryota; Viridiplantae; Streptophyta; Magnoliopsida; Poales; Poaceae. The record is from RNAcentral.